RNAcentral lists this ribosomal RNA (242 nucleotides) under uncultured bacterium. RNAcentral's name for it is "partial 16S ribosomal RNA". It matches the Rfam family "Bacterial small subunit ribosomal RNA", at positions 112 to 354 of the family's 1533-position model. The record is from RNAcentral.
CGGACGUGGAUAACCUGCCUUGCACUGGGGGAUAACACUUAGAAAUAGGUGCUAAUACCGCAUAAGCGCACAGAGCCGCAUGGCUCAGUGUGAAAAACUCCGGUGGUGUAAGAUGGAUCCGCGUCUGAUUAGCUGGUUGGCGGGGUAGAAGCCCACCAAGGCGACGAUCAGUAGCCGGCCUGAGAGGGUGAACGGCCACAUUGGGACUGAGACACGGACCAGACUCCUACGGAAGGCAGCAG